This 253-nucleotide ribosomal RNA is filed under the name uncultured bacterium. RNAcentral's name for it is "partial 16S ribosomal RNA". It matches the Rfam family "Bacterial small subunit ribosomal RNA", at positions 524 to 776 of the family's 1533-position model. The record is from RNAcentral.
GACGUAGGAGGCGAGCGUUGUCCGGAUUCAUUGGGCGUAAAGAGCGCGCAGGCGGCUUGGUAAGUCGGAUGUGAAAUCCCGAGGCUCAACCUCGGGUCUGCAUCCGAUACUGCCCGGCUAGAGGUAGGUAGGGGAGAUCGGAAUUCCUGGUGUAGCGGUGAAAUGCGCAGAUAUCAGGAGGAACACCGGUGGCGAAGGCGGAUCUCUGGGCCUUACCUGACGCUCAGGCGCGAAAGCCAGGGGAGCAAACGGG